Long non-coding RNA from Sardina pilchardus (European sardine), 532 nucleotides. RefSeq lists it as uncharacterized. NCBI's taxonomy places the organism in Eukaryota, Metazoa, Chordata, Actinopteri, Clupeiformes, Clupeidae. The transcript is spliced from 2 exons. The record is from RefSeq and is a predicted model, not a curated record.
ACCAGGUUACUCUUAACAGUGAGUUGGCUCAAACAGUAACUCGGUUGUUAUUAUAGGCUAUGCUUGGUUAAGUAUUUAAUGUAAAAAUGGCUACAGUGAAAAACGUCCAUAAGAGGAUGGCUACCACUAGCCUAAGAUUUUGAAUCUGCGUAGGCUGUUAUUAGGCCUAGGCCGGCCUACGGAUUGAGCGGGAAAGACCGAGGCACCAAUAUCGCGCACUAACACGAAGAGGAUCCAGUCCGGACCAGCCGACUGUGCGAUGAAGUAUUUAGAGUCCGGGGAAAAACUCAUGGACACAAACUCAACGUCGGCCAGGUCGCCACCCGUAAGCACUUUUCUCUUACGGCACUGUUCAUGCUGCAGGUCGUAGACGGUGAUUACUGGCCGCUCCCCGCGUUCUGACACGGCCAGGUAGCGCUUGUUUGGGCUGAUGGCCAGUGCAUACAUGCCAUGGCUUUUCUCCAGACCUGCAAAGGAAGACAUGAUGGAGCGUUCAUGUGUCACUAAUAAAGGUCUGUCCAUUUGUUCUGGG